CACCUCGUCGGCCCGCCCCUCCCAGCCACCGCCCAGCACCGCCGGGGCCUGCCCCUCCCCGCCACCGCCCAGCACCACCGCAGCCCACCCAUGCGCCCGCCCCUCUACCGUUCCAGGCCGCGGCGCCGCCCCCUCCCGCGGCCCUCCCGGCCACCGCGGCCCUCCCCGCCACCACAGCCCGCCCCUGCGCCCUCCCCUCCAUCGAUCCAGGCCGCGGCACCGCCCCCUCCCCGCGGCCCUCCCGGCCACCGCGGCAUGCCCCUGCGCCCGCCCCUCCACCGAGCCAGGCCGCGGCGCCGCCCCCUCCCUGUGGCCCUCCCUGCCACCGCGCCAUCCACCGUAGUUUAAAUAUCUGGGGAGGUUGCAUUGCCCGGAGGAAAGGCAGAGGAGGGUGAUGCUGAUGAUGCAGCAACAACAUUAAGGGAGGCAAAGGAGGAGAUUGGGCUUGAUCCAGCCUUGGUCACUCUUGUUUCCUCGCUUGAGCACUUCUUGCCCAAGUUGUUUCGUCGCUGCGAGGGUCUGGUGUUCGACGACCUCCCCGUGCGUUCAACGAGCUCUGCCCCGAUGUUCAUGGGUGUUGACAGAUGGUGGGCGCGGGUCGAGAGCGCUCCAAGGCUCCUUCCUCGGCGCGUGGUGGGAGGGGUAGUUCCAUUCCACCCCAGACCCUCCGGAGAGCUCUGGAUCUCAGUAUGAAGACACCACCAGCGGUCGCUUCUUCUUUGGCCGGGAGAGGUCGGGGGGAGAAGAAGGAGAAGGCUAGUAGAGGUGGACGUGGCGGCGGGAGAGGUAGGAAGGCUGCCACUACGCCUUCCUCGCCGCCACCCUCAGCUGAUUCACCUGACCACAGGACUGCCCCGUCUGAGAUGGAGCUUCCUGAGGUGGACCUGUCUUGGACCCCGGUCCACGAGCCUCGGGCCGACGAGCCUUCGCCCCACGAGACUCCGGUCCCUGAGGCUCCGUCCCACGAGACUCUGGAUCAGGCUACGUCGCAGCAUGGUGGACUGGCCGGAGUCGAGUGGCCAUGCUGAUGGUGACGAGGGUGGCUAUAGUUCUGAUAGCUAUAGCGAGAGUGAGCUGGUGGAGGGGGGAAAUGUCUACCAGCAUGGUGGUACAAAGCUCCCGCCCACCCCAGUGACCCAUGACCAGAGGUGGUUGAUUACACGUGAUGGGGAGAAGUCUUGGAAACACGGUCAUGGUGUCCGCAGGUCCAACACAGUCCUUGGUGUGAUUUGUCGCCAGAGCUUCCCGGGGUGGGUCACAUUACUUGGUGAGGGCUAGGUUCCAGAGCUAGGAAUGACCUGGGAGCACUACUUGGCUGCCCCGGCCCCGCCGGGGGAGAGGAUCGGCGGUGUCGAGUGCCACAAGGUGGCCGAUGUUGUGAUCCAGACGUUUUGGACCUUUUACAGAUGUGCUGAGGGAUAGGAGGAGGCCGCGGCUCGGGUUAUCGAAGCGGAGUGCAGGCGACUACUUCAAAACUGGCGGAACGGGGCUCGGACGCAGGCUACUCGAGACUACUUCGCCUCGAUUGGUAUUAGGAUGUCCAAGUCGAAGUGCUGCAAAAAGUAUCUAAGUAAGGAGAAGUACAUGAAGGUGCUCCCGAGAUGGUGUGCGGAUAGGCUGGAUUGUUGGGAGGCAUUGGUGGAUGAGUGGUGCUGUCCCCAAUGGCUAUCCACCCACAACAAUGCAAAGGAUCGACGUGGCAAAAUGAGCAGCGUGCCACACCAUCAAGGCCGCGUCAACCUAUAUCAGUACGGGGAUAACUGGGCGCGGCACAACAAGACGGAUGUGCCAGAGCUGUUCGACAUAUAUGCCAUGGCCCAUAGUGCCCCGUAUAAGAAGGCCAAGGCAUUCUCCGAGUCUGAUCUCGAUGAUCCAAAGAACUUCACCAACCGUGCCUCCCACAACAAGCUAGUGAGGUACAGAGACGAGUGGAAGGCAAGGAAAGGGCCGGACUUUAACCCGAGCUAGCCUAUUGAUCCUGAGCUGGUGAUGAUAUCUGGUGGCGGGAGGAACCAUGGCUUGUUAGCCAUUGGGGAUGGACUGAUACGUUGUACUAGCACUCUCCCGCAGAUCAAGAGGCGCCAGACGAGCUCCGAUCCUGAGAUAAGGCCUCCUCCACGGCCAAUGGAUCUUGAAAUCAAGGCUGCUAUUGAGGAAGAGAGAGCAAAGACCCAGGAGCUUCUGGCAGAGGAAAGGAGGCAGACGGCAGAGAGGGAGGGGGAGACUAAGGAGAGGACGGCUAGGCUUUUGGAGGAGGAGAGGAACCGGAACGACUUGGCUAACCGGGCCAUAUACGAGAUCUUCGCGUCCAUGUGCGAGAAGAACGGUCAGACCCCUCCGCCGAUGCCAGUCAUUGCUCCGGCGGACACGCAUAACUCCCGACAAGCAUCGAUGUCUGCCAUUGGCGCGAGCAAGAACCCCAAUCCUCCUCCGUCUGCCACUACUGCGAGCAAGAACCCCGAUCCUUCACCUACAGGUUGACGAUUUGCUUCAGAUCACGGAAGCAUGGGUUGAUGGAGUGCUUGUCUUUAGUUUU
Long non-coding RNA from Triticum aestivum (bread wheat), 2536 nucleotides. RefSeq lists it as uncharacterized. The record is from RefSeq and is a predicted model, not a curated record. Lineage: Eukaryota; Viridiplantae; Streptophyta; Magnoliopsida; Poales; Poaceae. The transcript is spliced from 12 exons.